AACGACUCUCGGCAACGGAUAUCUCGGCUCACGCAUCGAUGAAGAACGUAGCAAAAUGCGAUACUUGGUGUGAAUUGCAGAAUCCCGUGAACCAUCGAGUUUUUGAACGCAAGUUGCGCCCAAGCCAUUCGGCCGAGGGCACGUCUGCCUGGGCGUCACGC
Molecule: ribosomal RNA, 161 nt
Filed under: Chaetanthera sphaeroidalis
Lineage: Eukaryota; Viridiplantae; Streptophyta; Magnoliopsida; Asterales; Asteraceae
Description: 5.8S ribosomal RNA
Rfam family: 5.8S ribosomal RNA
About the family: 5.8S ribosomal RNA (5.8S rRNA) is a component of the large subunit of the eukaryotic ribosome. It is transcribed by RNA polymerase I as part of the 45S precursor that also contains 18S and 28S rRNA.
Source: RNAcentral